GACGAACGCUGGCGGCGUGCUUAACACAUGCAAGUCGAACGGAAAGGCCCUGCUUUUGUGGGGUGCUCGAGUGGCGAACGGGUGAGUAACACGUGAGUAACCUGCCCUUGACUUUGGGAUAACUUCAGGAAACUGGGGCUAAUACCGGAUAGGAGCUCCUGCUGCAUGGUGGGGGUUGGACAUUUUCGGCUGUUGGGGAUGGACUCGCGGCUUAUCAGCUUGUUGGUGGGGUAGUGGCAUACCAAGGCUUUGACGGGUAGCCGGCCGGGGAGGGUGACCGGCCACAUUGGGCCUGAGAUAGGGCGCAGACUCCAACGGGAGGCAGCAGUGGGGAAUAUUGCACAAUGGGCGGAAGCAUGAUGCAGCAACGCCGCGUGCGGGAUGACGGCCUUCGGGUUGUAAACCGCUUUCGCCUGUGACGAAGCGUGAGUGACGGUAAUGGGUAAAGAAGCACCGGCUAACUACGUG
RNAcentral lists this ribosomal RNA (468 nucleotides) under uncultured bacterium. Its description in RNAcentral is "partial 16S ribosomal RNA". It matches the Rfam family "Bacterial small subunit ribosomal RNA", at positions 28 to 507 of the family's 1533-position model. The record is from RNAcentral.